CCACUGCCGGUUGUAUGUCCAACUCGAUGCUGAAUCAAAUUCAGAACGCGGCCGAGAUCCCUUCCACUU
This 69-nucleotide ribosomal RNA is filed under the name Chloropicon primus. RNAcentral's name for it is "partial 5.8S ribosomal RNA". The record is from RNAcentral. Lineage: Eukaryota; Viridiplantae; Chlorophyta; Chloropicophyceae; Chloropicales; Chloropicaceae.